Molecule: long non-coding RNA, 330 nt
Filed under: Gossypium barbadense (sea-island cotton)
Lineage: Eukaryota; Viridiplantae; Streptophyta; Magnoliopsida; Malvales; Malvaceae
Description: long non-coding RNA (GBAR_LNC018792)
Source: RNAcentral
GAAAACUGUCAGUGUCCUUUAGGGACAAGCUUUUGGCUUCUUUGGAUUUUAUAGGAUUAAAGAGGUUGGUAGGGGAUGUUGUGAUGGAACUUAUCUAUGGUAUACUUACUAUAAGAUUUUCAUACAUAAUCCAUAAUUUGAUGGAAUAAAACAUGUUGAAGUCGGUGAUGAUUUCUUCCUUGUAGAAUAGAAUCAAUGCCUUGUGGAAGCUGAUGCAAGCUUUUCAACUCAUGAAUCUUGAAAUUUGGCCAAGUUUCAGAUAAGAGUACUUUCAGCUAGGGUGCUUUCUAAAGGACCAUGAUUGAUCUGUGGGUAUUAUCUAUUUGUUCC